GUCCCCCUGUGACAGGGGGACAACUCGUUAUUAUUAUUAUUAUUAUUAUUAUUAUUCUGCCUCUUUGCGUCCAUUUUUGAGGCAUUUCCGAUACUCGAAAACUCACGCAUUUUGGCACAGGCCUCAAGCUCGGCGAAAAUUUUAAAGUUCCAUAGAGGCUGGACUUUGGCGUUGUUCAGGAGCUCUAUAGCGCCCCCAAACGUAGGCAGUGGCUGGGAUGAAGUUUGUCCAAUGUACACCAACUUUGGUACGCUCAUUGACCUCCUCAUAAAGAACAAGGAUCAAUUUGAUUUAUUUGACUCCGCCCAACAGGAAGUCGGCCAUUUUGACAGGAAGUUGCAAAAUAAAAAGUUUCCCGCUGGGUUUCGGAGGGGUUAGGAUGUUUGAAAACUCCUAAAAUUUUACAGAGCUAUUUGGCCUUGGCCAUACUUUGACCGUAAGUUGGAAUUUCGUAAAUUCGUCUUUCAUCAGCUCUCUAGCGCCACCUAUUUUAUAUCAUAUUUAUGAAACGCUCUCAGCCUCUUGAUGAUUGGCAGAUUCAAUAAGUCUUUGAAAUGAUUUAGGAAUAUUUUGUCGUUUUUCUCAUGUGUAGCUAGAGGACUCUACAGCGCCCCCUAUUUUGUUUAGGCCAUUAAAUUAGCUGUAGCUGUCUCAAAAUUUCUCCAAUAUUCUCGAUUUUUGGCAACAACAUAGAAACUAUCAUCCCGCACAUAUUACCCUUUGGCUUGUACUAGCUCCGCCCAACAGGAAGUCGGCCAUUUUGAAAUUUGUGGAAUUUUUACACAUUUUUCACGAACUCAUUCAAACUCCUCCUAGAGUCUUUGUCAUAUUACCUCUAAAUUUGGUAUGGAUAGGCUCCAGACAUACAUGGUGAUAAAUUGCGAAGGAAUAGUCGAUAGCUGAAACGAUGACGUAAUGGCGGACAAUUAAUUUAAUGGAGACGCAACACUAGACCAAAGUGAAACCAUGACACGGUCAUAAAACAGAUGAUUGAAAAAUCAUGAAACUUGGUAAAAACACAAGAGACAUCAUAAGACACGUUUUUAGUAUUGGAAUGAUUGACUCCGCCCAACA
RNAcentral lists this long non-coding RNA (1074 nucleotides) under Astyanax mexicanus (Mexican tetra). RNAcentral's name for it is "lncRNA (ENSAMXG00005001341.1)". Lineage: Eukaryota; Metazoa; Chordata; Actinopteri; Characiformes; Acestrorhamphidae. The record is from RNAcentral.